CCUACGGGGGCAGCAGUGGGGAAUAUUGCACAAUGGGGGAAACCCUGAUGCAGCGACGCCGCGUGAGCGAUGAAGUAUUUCGGUAUGUAAAGCUCUAUCAGCAGGGAAGAAGAUGACGGUACCUGACUAAGAAGCCCCGGCUAACUACGUGCCAGCAGCCGCGGUAAUACGUAGGGGGCAAGCGUUAUCCGGAUUUACUGGGUGUAAAGGGAGCGUAGACGGCAGUGCAAGUCUGGAGUGAAAGGCGGGGGCUCAACUGCCGAACUGCUCUGGAAACUGUAUGGCUUGAGUGCAGGAGGGGUAAGCGGAAUUCCGGGUGUAGCGGUGAAAUGCGUAGAUAUCAGGAGGAACACCGGUGGCGAAGGCGGCUUACUGGACUGUAACUGACGUUGAGGCUCGAAAGCGUGGGGAGCAAACAGGAUUAGAUACCCUUGUAGUC
Molecule: ribosomal RNA, 439 nt
Filed under: uncultured bacterium
Lineage: Bacteria
Description: partial 16S ribosomal RNA
Rfam family: Bacterial small subunit ribosomal RNA
Source: RNAcentral